AUUUCCUACUGCAAAUUGAAGGUAUGCAUACCUACCCAACACAUAUAGUUUACAUUCUCUUCUUUUUAUGUGGCCAUGUAAUUCUUUCAAGGCAUAUUCUAACAAAUCUUCAAAUAAAAUCAAUUAAUAAACAAACUUCUCUUUACCAUGCCACUUCAGUUGUUUUGGCACAUAAAUUGUAUAUAUGUUAAAUUUAAGAAACUAAUUCUAUUGCUUCUUUUUGUUGUAGAGAUACAUAUUAACAAAGAACCACAUACCCAUGCUUGGACACUUCUCACUUUUCAAGUUAGCACUGGUUGUAGCUAAAAAGUCUUCUCAAUGUCAAUUAUACAAAGUUAUACACAAAAAAAACAAUGCUAUGCUUACUCUGUUCUUUUUCCCUACAAAACAUCAACUUUCUAACUCUUUUAAAACUAAAAUGAAUAUAUUUCUAAUCAGUUUUAAACUUUACACUACUCAAACAUUUCUAGCAGCUUUUAUUAAUCUCGUUCUUAGAGCAUCUAUGUAUUGUCCUCUGAUAGCUUUUGUUACAAAAAUGUUUCUUCCAUUCAAAACUGACUGCUGCAACAUAAACAACUCACCCAGGUAUGACAUAACAAUGCUAUGCUUAGUCUGUUUUUUUCCUUUUUUUUUUUUAUAUGCAAAGAUAGAAGAGAGAGAAAUAAUAGUAUCUAAGUUUCUAUAUAUGCUAUGAAACAUUUGUUUCAAUCUAUACCACUAUUAAGCUCCAUCUCACAAUAUCAGAAAUAUGUAUCUGUACAAUUUCACAGUUAAAUAGAAGACGACAUAAAACUUGUGGAUGACUGCAUCUUUCCCUCUCAUCUGAAACUUUUGUUUUACAAAUACUUUCCACAUGUGAUUUCAAAGGAAGGAUGCAAGGCCCGCAACACAUCAGGCAACCUGAGCCAAUCUCAAAGCCUCCAAUUUCCAUAUACCAGUUUUCAGGAUUAGACCAUAGCAGAGCAUGUCAACAUAUGAAGGUGACUUGGUGGCAAAAUGCUACUUUACAAAGCACAACACCUGUGUAUUAUCCUCUAGUGACUUUAGUUACAAAACUCUCUAUUCCAUUCAAAAGUCACUACUGCAACAUUAACAACUCACCCAGAGAUACAUAUUAACAGACAACAACAUACCCAUGAUUGCACUCCAUGUCGAUUACAACCAAACAUUUUCUGGUAAAACCUUUGACCGACCACACUAAAUCACCUUUCCUAUUUCACCAAUAUCCAUUCAUUUUGUUCCCCAUAUUUCAGAUUUAAAUAUCUCAAAUCUAUCACUGUGUUGCCCUUGCAAAAAUUGCAGACAACAAACAAAAAAAUUUAGGGUGUUUUCAAACUUCACUGCAUUCCAGAUUUAU
Cryptomeria japonica (Japanese cedar) is the source of this 1357-nucleotide long non-coding RNA. RefSeq lists it as uncharacterized. Lineage: Eukaryota; Viridiplantae; Streptophyta; Pinopsida; Cupressales; Cupressaceae. The record is from RefSeq and is a predicted model, not a curated record. The transcript has 6 exons.